Molecule: small RNA, 306 nt
Filed under: Pongo abelii (Sumatran orangutan)
Lineage: Eukaryota; Metazoa; Chordata; Mammalia; Primates; Hominidae
Description: processed transcript
Source: RNAcentral
CCUGUACGUAGUCAGUUACGUAAAUCCUGGAGAGGUGACAAGGCUGACUGACCGUGGCUAUUCACAUUCUUGCUGCAUCAGUCAGCAUUGUGACUUCUUUAUAAGUAAGUAUAGUAACCAGAAGAAUCCACACUGUGUGUCCCUUUACAAGUUAUCAAGUCCCGAAGAUGACCCAACUUGCAAAACAAAGGAAUUUUGGGCCACCAUUUUGGAUUCAGCAGGUGCAGUUGGUGAAUAAUCGGUUUAAAGGAGUCAAGUAUUUCCGCUUGAAUACCCUAGCCUCUCUAGGUUAUGUGGUUGUAGUGA